AUACUUACCUGGCAGGGGAGAUACCAUGAUUAUGAAGGUGGUUUUCUCAGGGCAAGGCUUAUCUAUUAUACUCUGGAUUGUGCUGACCCCUGCGAUUUCCCCAAACACUGGAAACUUGACUGCAUCAUUUGUGGUAGUGAGGGACUGUGUUAGAGUUUCCCCUAA
Molecule: small nuclear RNA, 165 nt
Organism: Onychomys torridus (southern grasshopper mouse)
Lineage: Eukaryota; Metazoa; Chordata; Mammalia; Rodentia; Cricetidae
Product: U1 spliceosomal RNA
Exons: 1
Source: RefSeq, a predicted model, not a curated record